CGAAGCAGACCUGUGGGCAGAGGAGCGACUGGAGGCCUGCAGACAACACUAAACACACAAACACAAGACACCGGCAGCUGAGAGACCGCAUCGCCCCCCAGCUCCAGAACUGGCUCAGCAGCACGGGCAGCAGCGGGGAAGUGUAUGUGGCAGACGGAGAGGCCUGCGGAGGCUGGAGAACAGGAGACACAGACUCACAGUAGGACACACAGAAGGUGUGCUUCGGGACCGUGGUGAGAGUGAGCGCAGAGCUGAGUCCUGUUUUCAUCCUCCAGUUCGACUUCAGGAUCCUGUAAUUGUGUAGAGUUUGUUAAAUCAUCUCAAGUGAGGGCCAGUUAAACUGCAGACUGCAGGACAUCGUGCGUUGUGGGGACGUUGCUGUAACGUUGUGUGGAUGUUUUCUGUUUUUGAAGCUGAAACUUCUGUGCCAAAGCUGGAGUUGCUGAAUGCUCUUCAGCCGCAGCUCUGUGCAGUGUUGUGCCAGAAACUGAAGGAUCAUGUGACGCCAAACUCCUUCACUCGGCAGCCAUCUUUGAGACGUCUCUCUGCAGUUUGCUUGAUCGUUCUGUUUAAACGGGGAAACAUCAAACUCUCCAAAACUACUAGCCGAGCUCGACUGAACCCUAUUGUAGGAGUCAUCAAUAAAAUAAACAACCGAG
This 659-nucleotide long non-coding RNA is filed under the name Danio rerio (zebrafish). RNAcentral's name for it is "si:zfos-632h11.5 (ENSDARG00000098912.2)". Lineage: Eukaryota; Metazoa; Chordata; Actinopteri; Cypriniformes; Danionidae. The record is from RNAcentral.